CGCCUACGGCAAACCCUAUUCUUUUCUUCAUCAAUUCAUUCCCCUUAUUCAAUGUAUCUUUCUCAAUCCUUUCAACCGACCAUUCAUUUCGUCCAUUCUUCUUCGACGAUUCUACUUCUAUGAGUUUCACGAUUCAUUCUCUUUAAUGAGUGAAACAAUUGAACGGGAAUUCGGUGGUGAUGGCAGGAAACACUCAAGAUUCGUUGCCUCAGUCUUUUUAAGAAAGCUACAAAGGGUUUUGGGCGAGAGGUUUUGAAAGAAGAUUCUGUAUUUUUGGCAGCGUUAAGAAGAUCAACAUUGGUCAAAUGUAAAUUUCCUGUUUGAAUUAGAUUGACUGUUAGUUUUGUAAUGCAGGUUCAACAAGAAAUAUAAAACAAACAAUUAGAAUUGGAAAAAUAUGUCAUCAUAAUGAAGCUUGUUGAGAAUCCCAUCAUCAUUGGUCAGAAUUAAUGUGCCAACAACCAAGGUUGUCCUGACCAUGUAAUCAUCAAUAAUCCAACUUAGCAUGAUUAAAAUCUCUACACUUUUUUUAUAUACUUUUAAAACUCUUAGCUGGUUGUUUCCGCGUAGUUGCAUCUAGAGCUGGUUUAGGUUGGUGCUAUUGUCAAAGGCUGAAUUUUGGUUACUACAAUUUGUAAACUUUUGUAUGUCACAAUUAUAUUUAUCUUUUUUU
Long non-coding RNA from Vicia villosa (hairy vetch), 673 nucleotides. RefSeq lists it as uncharacterized. The record is from RefSeq and is a predicted model, not a curated record. NCBI's taxonomy places the organism in Eukaryota, Viridiplantae, Streptophyta, Magnoliopsida, Fabales, Fabaceae. The transcript is spliced from 3 exons.